Molecule: ribosomal RNA, 266 nt
Filed under: uncultured Pseudomonas sp.
Lineage: Bacteria; Pseudomonadati; Pseudomonadota; Gammaproteobacteria; Pseudomonadales; Pseudomonadaceae
Description: partial 16S ribosomal RNA
Rfam family: Bacterial small subunit ribosomal RNA
Source: RNAcentral
ACCAGCAUGUUAUGGUGGGCACUCUAAGGAGACUGCCGGUGACAAACCGGAGGAAGGUGGGGAUGACGUCAAGUCAUCAUGGCCCUUACGGCCUGGGCUACACACGUGCUACAAUGGUCGGUACAAAGGGUUGCCAAGCCGCGAGGUGGAGCUAAUCCCAUAAAACCGAUCGUAGUCCGGAUCGCAGUCUGCAACUCGACUGCGUGAAGUCGGAAUCGCUAGUAAUCGUGAAUCAGAAUGUCACGGUGAAUACGUUCCCGGGCCUU